Molecule: ribosomal RNA, 408 nt
Filed under: uncultured bacterium
Lineage: Bacteria
Description: partial 16S ribosomal RNA
Rfam family: Bacterial small subunit ribosomal RNA
Source: RNAcentral
GACGAACGCUGGCGGCGUGCUUAACACAUGCAAGUCGAACGGAGUGGCGAACGGGUGGGUAACACGUGGGUGAUCUGCCUUGCACUCUGGGAUAAGAUUGGGAAACUGGGUCUAAUACCGGAUAGUGCAAGAUGAGCUCGCGGCCUAUCAGCUUGUUGGUGGGUGAAUGGCCUACCAACGCGUCCACGUGUAGCCGGCCUGUGAGGGUGUACGGCGACAGUGGGACUGAGAGAAGGCCCAGACGCCGACGGGAGGGAGAAGUGGGGAAUAGUGCACAAUGGGCGGAGGGCUGAUGUAGCGACGCCGCGGGGUGGAUGAUGGUCUUCGGGGUGUAAACGCCUUUCGACAUGGACGCGGUACCUGUAUAAGAAGCACCGGCUAACUACGUGCCAGCAGCCGCGGUAAUUC